Molecule: ribosomal RNA, 426 nt
Filed under: Phyllodactylus thompsoni
Lineage: Eukaryota; Metazoa; Chordata; Lepidosauria; Squamata; Phyllodactylidae
Description: partial 12S ribosomal RNA
Rfam family: Bacterial small subunit ribosomal RNA
Source: RNAcentral
GGGAUUAGAUACCCCACUAUACUUAGCCAUAAACCUAGAUGGGCACCACACCACCCCAUCCGCCAGAGAACUACGAGUAAAAAACUUAAAACUCAAAGGACUUGACGGUGCCCCACACCAACCUAGAGGAGCCUGUCCUAUAAUCGAUACCCCACGCUUAACCUCUCCCCCUCUCGCACCAAAUCAGCCUAUAUACCGCCGUCGCCAGCCUGCCUAGUGAUAGACACACAGCAGACAAGACAGUUACACCCACUAGCACGUCAGGUCAAGGUGUAGCUAAUGGGGGGGCCUGAGAUGGGCUACAUUUUCUAACGACAAGAAAACACCACAAGCCUUAUGAAACCAAGGCCACCCGGUGGAUUUAGCAGUAAACCCGGGCGAGAAAUGCCCAAUUGAAGCAUGCUCUGGGGCGCGUACACACCGCCG